RNAcentral lists this ribosomal RNA (547 nucleotides) under uncultured bacterium. RNAcentral's name for it is "bacterial SSU rRNA". It matches the Rfam family "Bacterial small subunit ribosomal RNA", at positions 355 to 896 of the family's 1533-position model. The record is from RNAcentral.
UGGGGAAUAUUGCGCAAUGGGGGGAACCCUGACGCAGCCAUGCCGCGUGAAUGAAGAAGGCCUUCGGGUUGUAAAGUUCUUUCGGUAUUGAGGAAGGUUGAUGUGUUAAUAGCACAUCAAAUUGACGUUAAAUACAGAAGAAGCACCGGCUAACUCCGUGCCAGCAGCCGCGGUAAUACGGAGGGUGCGAGCGUUAAUCGGAAUAACUGGGCGUAAAGGGCACGCAGGCGGUUAUUUAAGUGAGGUGUGAAAGCCCCGGGCUUAACCUGGGAAUUGCAUUUCAGACUGGGUAACUAGAGUACUUUAGGGAGGGGUAGAAUUCCACGUGUAGCGGUGAAAUGCGUAGAGAUGUGGAGGAAUACCGAAGGCGAAGGCAGCCCCUUGGGAAUGUACUGACGCUCAUGUGCGAAAGCGUGGGGAGCAAACAGGAUUAGAUACCCUGGUAGUCCACGCUGUAAACGCUGUCGAUUUGGGGGUUGGGGUUUAACUCUGGCGCCCGUAGCUAACGUGAUAAAUCGACCACCUGGGGAGUACGGCCGCAAGGUUA